This 467-nucleotide ribosomal RNA is filed under the name uncultured bacterium. Its description in RNAcentral is "partial 16S ribosomal RNA". It matches the Rfam family "Bacterial small subunit ribosomal RNA", at positions 28 to 507 of the family's 1533-position model. The record is from RNAcentral.
GACGAACGCUGGCGGCGUGCUUAACACAUGCAAGUCGAACGAUGACGACCGAGCUUGCUCGGUCUGAUUAGUGGUGAACGGGUGAGUAACACGUGAGCAACCUGCCCUUCACUCUGGGAUAACCUCGGGAAAUCGGGGCUAAUACCGGAUAUGAGCUCCUGUCGCAUGGCGGGUGUUGGAAAGUUUUUCGGUGAAGGAUGGGCUCGCGGCCUAUCAGUUUGUUGGUGAGGUAGUGGCUCACCAAGGCGAUGACGGGUAGCCGGCCUGAGAGGGCGACCGGCCACACUGGGACUGAGACACGGCCCAGACUCCUACGGGAGGCAGCAGUGGGGAAUAUUGCACAAUGGGCGAAAGCCUGAUGCAGCGACGCCGCGUGAGGGAUGACGGCCUUCGGGUUGUAAACCUCUUUCAGCAGGGAAGAAGCGAAAGUGACGGUACCUGCAGAAGAAGCGCCGGCUAACUACGUG